Molecule: unclassified non-coding RNA, 229 nt
Filed under: plant metagenome
Description: partial contains small subunit ribosomal RNA, internal transcribed spacer 1, and 5.8S ribosomal RNA
Source: RNAcentral
UCUCCGUAGGUGAACCUGCGGAGGGAUCAUUACAGAGUUCAUGCCCUAACGGGUAGAUCUCCCACCCUAUGUUAUCAUCACUUUGUUGCUUUGGCGGGCCGUCAGGCCUCGGCUUGGCUACCGGCUCUCGCUGGUAAGCGCCCGCCAGAGAACCCCAAACCCUGAAUAACAGUGUCGUCUGAGUACUAUAUAAUAGUUAAAACUUUCAACAACGGAUCUCUAGGUUCUG